AUUGAACGCUGGCGGCAGGCUUAACACAUGCAAGUCGAGCGAGCGGCGGACGGGUGAGUAAUGUCUGGGAAACUGCCUGAUGGAGGGGGAUAACUACUGGAAACGGUAGCUAAUACCGCAUACCAUCAGAUGUGCCCAGAUGGGAUGAGCUAGUAGGUGGGGUAAUGGCUCACCUAGGCGACGAUACCUAGCUGGUCUGAGAGGAUGACCAGCCACACUGGAACUGAGACACGUUCCAGCCUCCUACGUGAGUCAGCAGUGGGGAAUAUUGCACAAUGGGCGCAAGCCUGAUGCAGCCAUGCCGCGUGUGGGAAGAAGGCCUUCGGGUUGUAAAGCACUUUCAGCGGGGAGGCGUUACCCGCAGAAGAAGCACCGGCUAACUCCGUGCCAGCCGCCGCGGUAAUUC
This 406-nucleotide ribosomal RNA is filed under the name uncultured bacterium. Its description in RNAcentral is "partial 16S ribosomal RNA". It matches the Rfam family "Bacterial small subunit ribosomal RNA", at positions 30 to 526 of the family's 1533-position model. The record is from RNAcentral.